AUUGAACGCUGGCGACAGGCCUAACACAUGCAAGUCGAGCGGUAGCACAGGGAGCUUGCUCCUGGGUGACGAGCGGCGGACGGGUGAGUAAUGUCUGGGAAGCUGCCUGAUGGAGGGGGAUAACUACUGGAAACGGUAGCUAAUACCGCUUAACGUCGCAAGACCAAAGAGGGGGACCUUCGGGCCUCUUGCCAUCAGAUGUGCCCAGAUGGGAUUAGCUAGUAGGUGGGGUAACGGCUCACCUAGGCGACGAUCCCUAGCUGGUCUGAGAGGAUGACCAGCCACACUGGAACUGAGACACGGUCCAGACUCCUACGGGAGGCAGCAGUGGGGAAUAUUGCACAGUGGGCGCAAGCCUGAUGCAGCCAUGCCGCGUGUAUGAAGAAGGCCUUCGGGUUGUAAAGUACUUUCAGCGGGGAGGAAGGUGUUGAGGUUAAUAACCUCAGCAAUUGACGUUACCCGCAGAAGAAGCACCGGCUAACUCCGUGCCAGCCGCCGCCGUAA
This 504-nucleotide ribosomal RNA is filed under the name uncultured bacterium. RNAcentral's name for it is "partial 16S ribosomal RNA". It matches the Rfam family "Bacterial small subunit ribosomal RNA", at positions 30 to 523 of the family's 1533-position model. The record is from RNAcentral.